Molecule: non-coding RNA, 6695 nt
Organism: Chelonoidis abingdonii (Abingdon island giant tortoise)
Lineage: Eukaryota; Metazoa; Chordata; Testudines; Testudinidae
Source: RefSeq, a predicted model, not a curated record
GCUAGACAAAUUCAGAUUGGAAAUAAGGUUUAAAUUUUUAACAGUGAGAGUAAUUAACCACUGGAACAAUUUAUCAUGGUUUGUGGUGGAUUCCCUAUCAUUAACCAUUUUAAAAUCAAGAAUAGGUGUCCUUCUAGAGCAGAUCUUUAGCCAUUAUUUUGAGGCAGUUCUCUGGUCUGUGUUCUACAGGAGGUCAGACUAGAUGACCACAAUGGUACCUUCUGGCUUUGGAAUUUAUAUCCAUAGGCUAUUACAUUUCUCCUGUAUUGAUCUCUUAUCUGAUGCUGCAUAGCAACUCCCCCACUAAAAAUGAGGAUUAAGACCAUCCAGCAUUCUGAUGCGAGAACAACUUAAUGCUUUAUAACCUGAGUCAUAAUGCAAUAAAGUGUCAGUCCUAGAAUUUACUGGUUAUAUAAAACCUUAGGAGUAGAAUUUUGCUGUUAAGUGAUGUAUAAAUUAUUUAUAAUUAGGAAUACAUCUGAUACACAGGAGUUUCUGGACAUUCAAAACAGCCUUUUGUCUGGGGGGUUGUUUGAAACUUCUAUAAACAUUUCAAAUAAAGCAUCUAUGGGGACUUGGAUGACUGAUGGGAUAAGUCUCUGAGUUGCCAGUUCAAAUCCAGUCUGCGAUAAUAAGGACUGAAAAUGAAAUGGAAUUAAUCACUGUCACUGAAGACUGUAGUGGGAAUAAAACAAAUUUAAUAAGAUUCUGAAAACUUGCUAUGAAAAAAGUGAAUUACUGUAACUUCUUAUAAUUAAGGAUAGCUUUGUUACCAAACCACUGCCUAAUCUCAGACUUUGGCCACUGAAAAGGCUUCUCUGGUCAUAGGCUCUGUCCAUCCCUCUUUUGAGCUAUUUUCCCUAGUUUUAAAAAGCCUUCUAUUGAUUUCUUCCUUCUCCCUGCGGUCCUUUCUAAAAUCUUGGAGCCGAAAUCUUAAUUUUAUAUAUGCCCGUAAUUCACUCAGCCUUUCCAGUUUGGCUUUCUAUCAGAUCACUUUAUUGUUGCUUGAGGUUGCAGCCAAAGAUUUUACUUCUGUUCUUGACUUCUCAACAUCUUCUAUCACUGAGAGUCACUGACUUCUUUUUUUCAUUGCCUCACUUGUUUUUCUGACUGUAAUCCAGUGAUUUUCUUCUCUCAUUUUGUUAUUUAGGGUAUUGUGGGAUGACCAUUUCUCUGUCCCAGCCAAUGGGCUCUGUUCUUGGUCCCCUCGCUGGGUGUGAUUAUCUCUGUUCAGGCCCAAUCAUAGGGUAACAUUUAGUUGUUCUUUCCUUUCCUUUUUCUCAUAUACCCAUAAUUCUUGCUUGAUUUCAUUUCCACUUAGACUAAAGCCACUUGCCUUAUAUGACCAAGAUGAAUGUUUUCUCUUCAUCUCCAUGCUUACUUGUUGUUGAUAAUACUCCCAUCAAUCUGGUUGCUGCUGCUUCUAUGAGUCUUGAUGUUAUCUUCAACUAACAACUUUUUUCCACCCUUUUCUCUUGUUAAACCUUGCAGAUAUCACCUUCUAAACAUCUCUCUGUAGGCUUCCUAUUUACAUUACAGUAAAUCCUGAUCCUUGAGCUGCUUGUUUUGUGCCUUGCUUUUCCAAAAUCUUCUCUUCAGCCACCUCAGUUGACUAACCACCCAACACAUGUACUUUUUUGCUCUUUCACCAUUCAUGUUACUCCUGCUUUCAUUUCAAUGUCUUGCUGUCCAUCUGUGCUGUCAAUUUAAAAAUUCUUUCUUACAGUACAGUGCUUGAUCUGGUCCUUCUUCCUUUUAUUGCCUCUUUCAUAUCUCCACAUAUUUCUAAAUAGUCCUCUUCUUUAUAUAGCCCUAGAGCUGGUGCUUUCUUCCCCUCCCCCACCUUUUUCUGAUAUUCUGUGAUUUUUAAAAUCCAUCUGCAAAAUUGUUUAUUAUGAACUUUGUCUCUUUGUGAGUGGAAGGUAUUGUCACUCAGCCACAAACAAGUCAAUAGUGAUCCUGUGUUUCUUUUAUGCAUAUGCAGUACUUUGGAUAAAAGUUACUAUACAAGGGCUUGUCUACUUGGGCAGUCAUUCUGGAAUAGCUAUUCCUAAUUAACUCCAUGUGUGGACAUGGUUAAUCUGAACUUAAAAUACUAACUGGAAUAGAUAAUAUGCUCUAAAUUCAUACUCUUCCUUAUUCUGGUAACUUUUAUAUGUCAACAAGCCCUGAAUAAAAAUCUGUGAUCUUCUGGAAUGAAUUCUUCUACAUCAUCUAAAUCUUCAUUAAUAUUUGCAAAACAGUGUUUAAAAAUAGUUUGUUUGUUUAUAUUUUUUUAUUUGAUUUUUUUUUUUCCCCCUCCUGGGUUGUUUUUGCCUAAAAAAAAGGGUCUUUGUUUCAUACAUAUACUGUUUGCUCCUACUAUGCAUUUGCCACAGUUAACUGUGGUGUCACAAAUAAGAUAACUUCAGGUGAAGAACAAACAUCAGGAGCAGACGGGGAAACAAAGAACUACAUGGACAGAAUAUCUGUGGUACACUGGAAAGGGAUGGACAUGCUGCUUGCGUUCUGUCUAGCCUUGUUUUAUUGUUCUGCAAGAUGGUUGGAUAACAAUCAUUCAUUCACAAGGUAUGUGUUUUGAUGUGCCAAAUUUUAUUACAUGAAACAAAGUGCUCGAAACUGCCUUUGACGAAGGGUCAUGAAACCCUGGUAAAUAUUAGAAAUGGUUCUAAAAAAUACUAAGAAAAUACAGAAUCUGUGGAAUCAUUUGAUGUUAGCUGUUACAAUGUGAAAGGUCCUUGAAUCAAACUGUGCUUUCACACUAUCAAAUAUGCUGUAGUCUCUUUAUUGCCAACCCACUACAAUGGAAAAAAAAUCUAUUACUACUUUACUUUUUUAAAGAAGUGAUCUUUAAAUCAGAGCCUUAUCCCCACUGGGAUCAGAACUGUGUCAGUUAGUUAUAUUGAUGCAUGGAAGCUGCUAAGGAGAGUUAUAGCAUAUUUGGCUCAAGUGUUUUAAGUAUAGGUGAAGGUGCUGUGCUUCUGGUUCUCUUUGUGGACAGGAACGGUUUCCACCAUUUUCCUGCCAUGAUAUCAGCUGUCGCUUAAAUGUGGCUCUUGCAUUAGAAUAAAUGGAUCCAAAGAAAUGGAACCAGCUUUAAUAGAAAGUGUAAAAUGUUUGUUCCUGUUCUAAACUGAUUUGCCUAUCUGUAGGUGGCUGACUAAAGGUUUUCAUUAUCUCCUGCCAGGUAUUUUUUACAGGGUGUCUAAUCUAUUCAUUCUCCUUCAUGAUCAUGUUCAAUAGUUCUAGGUAUGGGUUUCCCUUGUGCAGGUUUUGGAGUUAGGUUUUGACAGUCAGCAGACAUUGGGCACCAGACAGACACAGGCUGCUGCUGUUGGAUCUUCUACCCCCUUCUUACAGAGGAAUUGGGCAAAACUUCUUAACUGCAUCUUUGGGCAGAACCCUUAGUUGGGAUUGCUCAGUGAACUGCAGGGUGUUUUGUUUUUCCCCCCUCCCACCGAGAAAUGUCCUAGUUUGUUAGAAAAGAGCUGUACAUCACGUUUCCUGCAUACUUUCCAGGGUCAACCCUACCAUGGAGAGACUGUCUCCAAAAAUAAACUCAAAUGAAAGAGAGACCUGAAAUCAGUGCUACAUGAAGUGUUUUUAGCCACCAAACUGAGCUUCAUUUCAUGUUUGGGCUCCCUGAGAUUUGCCUCUGAGUCCUUGGCAUACAUUGCAGUUGCUAAGAGACCGCUAUGGUAACUUAUGAUCCUGAGAAGGAGAGGGCUAAGCCAAACAUCUAGCAUUCUCAGAAUGUGCAGGUGGAAAAUUCUUUAGGAAACUACUGGGGAACUAUAACUGAAAUAAGAAAUAUUUCCUUUCUGUAGCCAGUAGAAAAGAGACUUCAGACCAUCCUACCAAAGGGAAAUACUCCCUUCAAGGCUUCAGUUCUUCUCAGAUUUCUAGGGCUUGAUGGCAGCUAUUGUAGAGAAGUCUAGAAGCAAAGCCAGUUCCACAAGUAAGCAAACAAAAAUCCCACCUGACUCUCUGCUCCACUUGCCCACGGACCAGAGCCCUCAUUCAGUUUGCAGAAUCUACACCUUCACAUCAGACAGAUGAGUUCUAGCUAGAGCCUGGCUUAAACCUACCUCCUGUCACUAUCCUACAGAUGAGCAGUUGACUAAUCUUGCAUCAGAAGAUUCUUGAAAGGAGCAGCACAGCUGCUUAAUCUUCAGAGAUCCACCAAGUAGCAUUGUGGAGGCUUAACUUGGUAUUUUGAGGCCUGCAAAAAGGUGGUAGAUUCUAAGACCUGUGCAGCCAUCAUCCUUUUAUCAGGUGCUCUGCAGAAAGUGCUGUGUAAUUAUUGCGGAGUCACUCUGAGGUCAGAUCAGGUGUGACCAAUUAACUCCAGUGUAGAAGCAUGUGGCUCUGGAGUGCCUCACUUGAAGGCAGAGGGAAGCAGGGACAGAAGCACUGCAGGGAAAUCUUCAAACUGCCAAACUCAAGGAAACUCACUUAAGGUUAGGUGCACGUUCCUUUUUGUUACCAAAAAUGUCAAACCGGGGGGGGAGGGAGGUUUAAGUCUGGGCUUUAGGGAACAUGUGUGUAUGCUCUGUUCAGAACAGUUAGUUAGUUACAAUGCCAUAAUGAAAAUGGCACUCAAACUGCUUCAGCCACUAUCUUUGUCUUGCCAUCAAAGUAACAUUUCAUCAGCGUGACAUUCUGUCUAUGAAGCUAGUGCUGUGCGUUGCAUGCCUACAAAAUUGUCUUAAGAUUAGACCAUCCUUGAAGUAAAUACUUCUUCAUAGGUCACAAGAUUGCAUUUGUUUCCUUCUGUCCUAACUCUGUACCUUAAGAGGAAAAUAGCAUCAGCUGGAUGUAAGGAAAAUUAAUUCAUUCCAAGUAAAUUUCAAAAGUGCCUUCAGAAAGUCCACAGCUGUCUGUGCCAUAUAUCGCUAUUGGGGAAAAAGGUCCUUUGAAUCAUCAGUUGUCUUAUGGCUGAAAUUAUGUGGUGAAGAAAUUUAUCAUUCUAAGCACCCUUUCUUUCUGUAAUCUAUUAUUGUCCAUCAUACCCGAGCCACAUCAGCAUUCUGGGCAGGAAAAUCUCAGGCCAACUAUGAAAAAAUUGGCAAGGGAGGAAACUGGUCCUCCAGCCAUAUGGACACUGCACAAUUAAUGCACAGACUGCAGUGACGGAUGCUGCUUUUGUUGGACAGGUACUGCAUGCAGUAAUAUGCUCUCCACCCACACCCCAAAUUCCGUCCUGUACAUCUAGAUCUGCUGCUUCCCUUAGCGCAUCCUUUGGAUUUCACCACUAUUAAAAUUCCAUACUAAGAAAUGGUAAAGCCAGAUAUGAGUACAGCAGAGAGAGACUUCCCUACCUGACAUGUUUUUCUUCCCUUCACCUCCUCAGAUUUUAAUGUAAUUUGGCCAACAUUGGGUGGUUUAUGCUCUGCAGACACAGUGGGAAAUGUUAAGGGAAAGCAUUCUCAACUACAAGACUUCCAUGACAUUAGUUCUCUGCAUAUUUUAUAGCACAUGAAACACGUGCUCUGGCAGUGAUUCUAGGGGACACAGCCAAGCCCUAUUUCUGCUAACUGACAUGUUUGAUUCUGCCUCCAAAAUUUUGCAGAGGAAACCCAUUGGAAAAAGAAAAAUCAGAUCCUUAGCGGAAGCACAACUCCCAACUGCCUCAAGAGCAAGAACUACACCCCUUUUGAUUAAGUAGCUCCAUACUUUUUGGUCAACUGCAAAUAUCCAUAUUUAGCAACAUUGUUAAGUUGGCUCCUCCAAGUGGCUCAGCACCCUCGACUUCUACUGGAAGGCUGAGCUCAGAAAAGCAGAAGUUAAAGAAAAAAAAAGAGAUUUUACGUGGUCACCUCCAACACACUUUGCUAGCAUAAGACUGUUUACUCUGGUUUGCUAACUACUACUUUGUUCAGAAUAGUUUUAAGCAUCACGAGCUAUGUGGGCUCCAUUUCCCUUGAGAAACCACUCCCUAGCAUGAUAUUUCAUUACGGAUACAUUCUCUUUGUUAGAAUAAAGAGCUGUUCUCUUACUCCUAGAUAUAUUCCUUGUGCCCCCAUAAACAGUUCCUUGCCCUCCUUGGUGUUCAUAUCUUUCCUAUACUUGUAAACAAGUUGUCAUUCAGCUAAGCUAUGAAGGACCAUCCAUCAGUUUUAGCUCACAGAUAUGCAUAAGCAUAGUCCAUUGAAAACAAUAGUUAUACCAGAGUAUUGAGGGCAUAACUUGGCCUCAUGUCAGUUCUUCCAGGUGUAACUCGUAUUCCACCUGGAGGUUUUGAAAUCUUGAUAGUAUCCCCCUUGACAUCCAUCAAAGCCAGUUUACCUUUGUCUCUCCAUUUAUACUAUACAAAUGUUUUGUUAAUCUUGGAAGACAAGUGGGAUUUUAAGGUAUCUUUAGGGAUUAUCAUUCUUCCAGCACAAGUGGGCUGCUAUUCCUCAUUGCAUAUGAGCCUACAUUUUUGUUAUUUGUUAGACUUUUAUAGGUGAAUUGUUUGUGGGAGUAUGUGGGGAGGUGGGGUUACCCUGAGGUUAAAUUCCAAUUUGUCAAUGUAGUACUCAGUCUGAGCUUUGGGCAAGGUCAAACCUUCUAUUGUUAUUUUCCCCCAGAAUUUCCAACAUACCAAAAUCCCUUUGUAUGUGUGUCCUCAUGGACAUUCACAAGCCUCCCAAUUUGGUGUGCUCUCAUAUUCCAGAUUAAUAAAGUUGCUAUAAUACCCCAGUCCUAGAAAG